This 290-nucleotide ribosomal RNA is filed under the name uncultured prokaryote. RNAcentral's name for it is "partial 16S ribosomal RNA". It matches the Rfam family "Bacterial small subunit ribosomal RNA", at positions 524 to 820 of the family's 1533-position model. The record is from RNAcentral.
UACGUAGGGGGCUAGCGUUACCCGGAAUUACUGGGCGUAAAGGGUGCGUAGGUGGUUUCUUAAGUCAGAGGUGAAAGGCUACGGCUCAACCGUAGUAAGCCUUUGAAACUGGGAAACUUGAGUGCAGGAGAGGUUGGCGGAAUUCCUAGUGUAGCGGUGAAAUGCGUAGAUAUUAGGAGGAACACCAGUGGCGAAGGCGGCCAACUGGGCUUUUACUGACGCUGAGGCUCGAAAGCGUGGGGAGCAAACAGGAUUAGAUACCCGGGUAGUCCCUGAGCGGGCUGGCAAGG